This 481-nucleotide long non-coding RNA is filed under the name Capra hircus (goat). Its description in RNAcentral is "lncRNA (ENSCHIG00000006128.1)". Lineage: Eukaryota; Metazoa; Chordata; Mammalia; Artiodactyla; Bovidae. The record is from RNAcentral.
UGUGAACAUUGUGGUAAGUUAAUGCAUUUUUUUAUACACUAUUCAUUUCUUUCAGGUGACCUCAAGCAACAAGGGGUCAGAACUAUGUGGACUUUGAUUUGGAAUGUCCUUCCUACCCAGCCCUAUCCACCUCAUGCUUGGGUGCCGGACCCUUGUUUUUCAGUUAAAAAUGGCAGGACUGGGGCUCAAGAAAUCCAAGUGCAGUGCAAACCAUACCUGCUGGCUCAAUCCAGCUGCAGAGACACCAUUAGAAUUCUGCCCUCUGUACCAACAAACCAGCCAAAAGCUCUGAGCCUACACCUGUGAAAAUAGUAAUACUAGUGAUAAACACGACUGACGCGACUUAGCAGCAGCAGCAGCGAUAAACAAGUGUUGGAACAGUGUUAAGGAUCUAUUAGUUCCCAACUGAGACCUCCUCCUUGGUGUAAUCAGAAUGAAAGAGAAUUCAAGUGGUAAUAACUUUCUCACUGUGCAAAUCAAU